UGACCUUGGAGAAACCCAUGCAGAGGGAA
This 29-nucleotide non-coding RNA is filed under the name Mus musculus (house mouse). Lineage: Eukaryota; Metazoa; Chordata; Mammalia; Rodentia; Muridae. The record is from RNAcentral.